Non-coding RNA from Pelobates cultripes (western spadefoot toad), 232 nucleotides. The record is from the annotation of a GenBank genome assembly. Lineage: Eukaryota; Metazoa; Chordata; Amphibia; Anura; Pelobatidae.
ACAGGUUUUUGCUGCAAUAAAAAAAAAAAUUAAUUAAAGUGUAUAAUUGUUUUUGGUUUUCUGUUGGAGUUUUAAACUUUUUUUGUGUGUAAACUUACAACUUUGAGAUGUGUCUUUAAUCAAAUGUUUGUUUUUGUCCUUUUAAUUAUUAGUACUUCGUUUCCUCCUCUCCCCCUUUAUUAUGCCCCUGUAUUGCUGUGAGAGAAAAAAAACAACAACAACCAUGUUUAUG